Molecule: ribosomal RNA, 253 nt
Filed under: uncultured bacterium
Lineage: Bacteria
Description: partial 16S ribosomal RNA
Rfam family: Bacterial small subunit ribosomal RNA
Source: RNAcentral
UACGGAGGGGGCGAGCGUUAUUCGGAAUUACUGGGCGUAAAGCGUGCGUAGGUGGUUCGUUGUGUCUGUGGUGAAAGCCCCGGGCUUAACCUGGGAAUGGCCAUGGAAACUGGCGAGCUGGAGUCUGGCAGAGGGGGGUGGAAUUCCGCGUGUAGCAGUGAAAUGCGUAGAGAUGCGGAGGAACACCGAUGGCGAAGGCAGCCCCCUGGGCUAAGACUGACGCUGAGGCACGAAAGCGUGGGGAGCAAACAGG